UUCCUGGUGGCCCAGUGGUUAAGACUCUGCACUUCCAAUGCAGGGGGCACAGGUUUGAUCCCUGGUCAGGGAA
Molecule: transfer RNA, 73 nt
Filed under: Bos taurus (domestic cattle)
Lineage: Eukaryota; Metazoa; Chordata; Mammalia; Artiodactyla; Bovidae
Also listed under: 3 other names
Rfam family: tRNA
About the family: Transfer RNA (tRNA) molecules are approximately 80 nucleotides in length. Their secondary structure includes four short double-helical elements and three loops (D, anti-codon, and T loops). Further hydrogen bonds mediate the characteristic L-shaped molecular structure. tRNAs have two regions of fundamental functional importance: the anti-codon, which is responsible for specific mRNA codon recognition, and the 3' end, to which the tRNAs corresponding amino acid is attached (by aminoacyl-tRNA synthetases). tRNAs cope with the degeneracy of the genetic code in two manners: having more than one tRNA (with a specific anti-codon) for a particular amino acid; and 'wobble' base-pairing, i.e. permitting non-standard base-pairing at the 3rd anti-codon position.
Source: Rfam by way of RNAcentral